GGUCUGUCGAAUAGCCCGGCUACUCCGUGCAGCAGCGCGGUAAUCGGAGGGGCAAGCGUAUCCGGAUUAUUGGUUAAGGGUCCGUAGGCGGAUGGUAAGUCAGUGGUGAAUCUCACAGCUUAACUGUGAAACUGCCAUUGAUACUGCAUGUCUUGAGUAAGGUAGAAGUGGCUGGAAUAAGUAGUGUAGCGGUGAAAUGCAUAGAUAUUACUUAGAACACCAAUUGCGAAGGCAGGUCACUAUGUCUUAACUGACGCUGAUGGACGAAAGCGUGGGGAGCGAACAGGAUUAGAUACCCUGGUAGUCCACGCUGUAAACGAUGCUUACUCGUUUUUGGGGAUUUAUCUUCAGAGACUAAGCGAAAGUGAUAAGUAAGCCACCUGGGGAGUACGAACGCAAGUUUGAAACUCAAAGGAAUUGACGGGGGCCCGCACAAGCGGUGGAUUAUGUGGUUUAAUUCGAUGAUACGCGAGGAACCUUACCAAGGCUUAAAUGGGAAUUGAUCGGUUUAGAAAUAGACCUUCCUUCGGGCAAUUUUCAAGGUGCUGCAUGGUUGUCGUCAGCUCGUGCCGUGAGGUGUUAGGUUAAGUCCUGCAACGAGCGCAACCCCUGUUACUAGUUGCUACCAUUAAGUUGAGGACUCUAGUAAGACUGCCUACGCAAGUAGAGAGGAAGGUGGGGAUGACGUCAAAUCAUCACGGCCCUUACGCCUUGGGCCACACACGUAAUACAAUGGCCGGUACAGAGGGCAGCUACACAGCGAUGUGAUGCAAAUCUCGAAAGCCGGUCUCAGUUCGGAUUGGAGUCUGCAACUCGACUCUAUGAAGCUGGAAUCGCUAGUAAUCGCGCAUCAGCCAUGGCGCGGUGAAUACGUUCCCGGGCCUUGUACACACCGCCCGUCAAGCCAUGGAAGUCUGGGGUACCUGAAGUCGGUGACCGUAAAAGGAGCGCCUAGGUAAAUCG
This 963-nucleotide ribosomal RNA is filed under the name Chryseobacterium sp. RNAcentral's name for it is "bacterial SSU rRNA". It matches the Rfam family "Bacterial small subunit ribosomal RNA", at positions 476 to 1469 of the family's 1533-position model. Lineage: Bacteria; Pseudomonadati; Bacteroidota; Flavobacteriia; Flavobacteriales; Weeksellaceae. The record is from RNAcentral.